CCUUGGUAGUCAUCAGGGGUCGUUUUGGCUGCUGUGACUUUAAAAAUGAGGAGCAGAGGGAGGUGUUCACAUUUUCCCACAUGCUGGAGCCAAGGAGCUGUUAAACCUCAUGUGAGGUCCUGCUGCAAAGGGGAUGGUUGUCCCAUGAGCUCACUGUCUGCUGGGUUGGCGAGUGCAUGGGGAGCAGGUGGCUCUGUUUGACAGCGGUGAUGCCGAUGGGCUGCAGGCUGUGCUCUUCCCCAUCCCGGGCUCAGUCCUUCCCUUCCUAAAGCCACCAGAGAUCCAAGGAAGACAACAUCCCAGCAACUCUGCACUGGGAACCAUCAGGGAGAAAAACCACAGAUGACAGAGGUAAGGAGAAAUAGCAGGAGGAGAGUAGCCAAAACUGGACACAAAGCUAGACAAGGACCCACUGCUGCAUGAAGAGCAGGGUGAAGCUGAAGGCUCUUCUUGCUUGUAAUGAAAUCUGCCUUGUACACAGUUAAACCACUUUCCAGUUUCACUGCAGACCAGAAGUCCUUUCUCCAUGCCUAACUGAGGAAACCAUCGUGGUUCUGCAGGCAGAAGGUCCUAGAGGGAAGCUGAGCCAGUGCAGCGAUGCUGCCUCGUAGCAGCAUCAUACUUGUACUCAUAGCAGGGUGACUUUCAGACAUCCUUACAUCACUUUUGUGUAAGAAGCUAGGCCUGAAUUCACAUAUCACACACGCAAAUAAUCAAUUGCUGGAGAAGAAAGGAAUUGCUUGUGGUCUGAAGCCUCAGUCCAGUCCCAAUGACUCUAAAUUAAUUAGGUGCCCUGUGCUUUCUUGAGUGGUGAUGCUUUCCUGAAACAUGGUCUUAGGUCAGCCAUAAUAUCCUGCAGAUAAACAUUCCCCCCCGCACCUUGCAUCUACAAAGAGAGGUAGCUUUGGACUGCAUAUUUAUAGUCAGACCCUGAGCUAUAAAUGGGACAUUUCUGCCUCAUGCAUUCCCUUAAGGGCCCAUAAGACUGCACACAUCAGCUAAGUAAUAUUUUACUGGGAUUUUCUUUAAUGACUUCAAGAGUGCUUAUUCUUGCCCCCAAUGAGCACUGCACAACUAACGUAACUCUACAAUUAAUCCUGAGUUACUCAUACACUGGACUCCAUUUUCCCUUCCAUUCAGGACAAGUUUUAAAAGGUUAUUGCUUUCCCCCUCCUUUCUCUUUCUUUUUAGUUUUAAAGACUUCUUUAAUCAGACCAAAUGGGGCUUAAAAGUACUGGAAACGUCUGGUUUUCUUUCAUUCUCAGCCUGUUCAAAAUCAAGCUAACGACAAAGGACAAGUGAAGUGCUUUGCAUUCACAAGCUGUGAAGAGGGACGUGAGGGAGAGGGAGUCCUUCACACAUUGCUGAUGCUCACUUGUGGACACGAAUUUCUGAGCAACUGCGGAGGGAUAAAGGUGUUUCUAUACAUGUUAGAUCUCUGUUUUGUGAUUGACCUCCACAAGAGGGUCAGUUUAAAAUGCAUUGAAAGCUGAGUGGACACUUGAGGCAAAUGCUGGAAAGAGAAUGAGAUAGACUUGAGGAAAAACAGCUCCCCCACACAUGGUUAAUGGUAAGGACCCCAAACCAGCCACAUGCUAACAAGUGCUGGGAUGCUCACAGCAUCCAUGAAAGCUGUGAUCUCAGGGAUGUCUCCUCCAAGGCACUCAGCACACACGAAGCAAGGCAGGGACAACCCAAAGGGGGAGCUCCACCAUUUCCAGAUGUUCCUAGGGAAUUUUAGCCCCUCUCUGUGGUCUAAUAUUCAAUGUUUGAUCUGCUCAUUGCCAGCAAAGACGGGGAACACCUGAAGCCUCCUAAUACUGUCAACUGCAGCAUGUCUUGCAGGCAACUUUGCACUCUUCAUCAUGAUGCUGAAUGAAAACACCUGGAUAGGGGUAUGCUGCUGGGGAGCAGCUGCAGGUUAUCUACCAUUGUGGGUGGACCAUGGAAACCUCCCUGAGGAGAUCCUG
Pezoporus occidentalis (night parrot) is the source of this 1970-nucleotide long non-coding RNA. RefSeq lists it as uncharacterized. The transcript has 3 exons. The record is from RefSeq and is a predicted model, not a curated record. NCBI's taxonomy places the organism in Eukaryota, Metazoa, Chordata, Aves, Psittaciformes, Psittacidae.